AGAGCGAACGCUGGCGGCAGGCCUAACACAUGCAAGUCGAGCGCCCGUAGCAAUACGGGAGCGGCAGACGGGAUAGUAACACGUGGGAACGCGCCCUUCGGUUCGGAAUAACUCAGGGAAACUUGAGCUAAUACCGAAUACGCCCUUACGGGGAAAGAUUUAUUGCCGAAGGAACGGCCCGCGUCCGAUUAGCUAGUUGGUGAGGUAAUGGCUCACCAAGGCUACGAUCGGUAGCUGGUCUGAGAGGAUGACCAGCAUCACUGGGACUGAGACACGGCCCAGACUCCUACGGGAGGCAGCAGUGGGGAAUAUUGGACAAUGGGCGCAAGCCUGAUCCAGCCAUGCCGCGUGGAUGAUGAAGGCCUUAGGGUUGUAAAGUCCGUUUUAACGGGGAAGAUAAUGACGGUACCCGUAGAAUAAGCCCGCUAACUUCGUGCCAGCAGCCGC
This 447-nucleotide ribosomal RNA is filed under the name uncultured bacterium. RNAcentral describes it as "SSU rRNA". It matches the Rfam family "Bacterial small subunit ribosomal RNA", at positions 26 to 518 of the family's 1533-position model. The record is from RNAcentral.